CCGCCAUUAGCUCAACCGGAUAGAGCAUAGAGCUUCUACCUCUAAGGCUAAGGUUCGGGGUUCAAUUCCUCGAUGGCGGACCA
RNAcentral lists this transfer RNA (83 nucleotides) under Salmonella enterica subsp. enterica serovar Sandiego. RNAcentral's name for it is "tRNA-Arg". It matches the Rfam family "tRNA". Rfam says of the family: Transfer RNA (tRNA) molecules are approximately 80 nucleotides in length. Their secondary structure includes four short double-helical elements and three loops (D, anti-codon, and T loops). Further hydrogen bonds mediate the characteristic L-shaped molecular structure. tRNAs have two regions of fundamental functional importance: the anti-codon, which is responsible for specific mRNA codon recognition, and the 3' end, to which the tRNAs corresponding amino acid is attached (by aminoacyl-tRNA synthetases). tRNAs cope with the degeneracy of the genetic code in two manners: having more than one tRNA (with a specific anti-codon) for a particular amino acid; and 'wobble' base-pairing, i.e. permitting non-standard base-pairing at the 3rd anti-codon position. The record is from RNAcentral. Lineage: Bacteria; Pseudomonadati; Pseudomonadota; Gammaproteobacteria; Enterobacterales; Enterobacteriaceae.